This 418-nucleotide ribosomal RNA is filed under the name Fusarium sp. MRC 6754. Its description in RNAcentral is "eukaryotic LSU rRNA". It matches the Rfam family "Eukaryotic large subunit ribosomal RNA", at positions 65 to 494 of the family's 3401-position model. Lineage: Eukaryota; Fungi; Ascomycota; Sordariomycetes; Hypocreales; Nectriaceae. The record is from RNAcentral.
CCAACAGGGAUUGCCCUAGUAACGGCGAGUGAAGCGGCAACAGCUCAAAUUUGAAAUCUGGCUCUCGGGCCCGAGUUGUAAUUUGUAGAGGAUACUUUUGAUCCGGUGCCUUCCGAGUUCCCUGGAACGGGACGCCAUAGAGGGUGAGAGCCCCGUCUGGUUGGAUGCCAAAUCUCUGUAAAGUUCCUUCGACGAGUCGAGUAGUUUGGGAAUGCUGCUCUAAAUGGGAGGUAUAUGUCUUCUAAAGCUAAAUACCGGCCAGAGACCGAUAGCGCACAAGUAGAGUGAUCGAAAGAUGAAAAGCACUUUGAAAAGAGAGUUAAAAAGUACGUGAAAUUGUUGAAAGGGAAGCGUUUAUGACCAGACUUGGGCUUGGUUAAUCAUCUGGGGUUCUCCCCAGUGCACUUUUCCAGUCCAG